RNAcentral lists this ribosomal RNA (166 nucleotides) under Glomus sp. RNAcentral's name for it is "partial large subunit ribosomal RNA". It matches the Rfam family "Eukaryotic large subunit ribosomal RNA", at positions 99 to 261 of the family's 3401-position model. Lineage: Eukaryota; Fungi; Glomeromycota; Glomeromycetes; Glomerales; Glomeraceae. The record is from RNAcentral.
GGGGAAAAGCUCAAAUUUUAAAUCUGCUAGGUUUUACUUAUCAGAAUUGUAAUUUGAAGAAGCGUUUUCCGCGUCUCGGUCGGCCCAAAUCCUUUGGGAUGAGGUAUCAUGGAGGGUGAGAAUCCCGUUCGGUUGACCUCAUGACGUUUUACGAUACGCUUUCUAA